UGGGGAAUAUUGCGCAAUGGGCGGAAGCCUGACGCAGCGACGCCGCGUGGGGGAUGAAGGCCUUCGGGUUGUAAACCCCUUUCACCAGGAGCGAAUCCAGACGGUACCUGGGGAAGAAGCGCCGGCUAACUACGUGCCAGCAGCCGCGGUAAUACGUAGGGCGCAAGCGUUGUCCGGAAUUAUUGGGCGUAAAGAGCUCGUAGGCGGCCUGUCGCGUCCGCUGUGAAAUCCUGGGGCUUAACCCCGGGCGUGCAGUGGAUACGGGCUGGCUAGAGGCAGGCAGGGGAGAACGGAAUUCCCGGUGUAGCGGUGAAAUGCGCAGAUAUCGGGAGGAACACCGGUGGCGAAGGCGGUUCUCUGGGCCUGUUCUGACGCUGAGGAGCGAAAGCGUGGGGAGCGAACAGGAUUAGAUACCCCCGUAGUCC
This 425-nucleotide ribosomal RNA is filed under the name uncultured bacterium. RNAcentral describes it as "bacterial SSU rRNA". It matches the Rfam family "Bacterial small subunit ribosomal RNA", at positions 355 to 796 of the family's 1533-position model. The record is from RNAcentral.